RNAcentral lists this ribosomal RNA (468 nucleotides) under uncultured bacterium. Its description in RNAcentral is "partial 16S ribosomal RNA". It matches the Rfam family "Bacterial small subunit ribosomal RNA", at positions 28 to 507 of the family's 1533-position model. The record is from RNAcentral.
GACGAACGCUGGCGGCGUGCUUAACACAUGCAAGUCGAACGGAAAGGCCCUGCUUUUGUGGGGUGCUCGAGUGGCGAACGGGCGAGUAACACGUGAGUAACCUGCCCUUGACUUUGGGAUAACUUCAGGAAACUGGGGCUAAUACCGGAUAGGAGCUCCUGCUGCAUGGUGGGGGUUGGAAAGUUUCGGCGGUUGGGGAUGGACUCGCGGCUUAUCAGCUUGUUGGUGGGGUAGUGGCUUACCAAGGCUUUGACGGGUAGCCGGCCUGAGAGGGUGACCGGCGACAUUGGGACUGAGAUACGGCCCAGACUCCUACGGGAGGCAGCAGUGGGGAAUAUUGCCCAAUGGGCGGAAGCCUGAUGCAGCAACGCCGCGUGCGGGAUGACGGCCUUCGGGUUGUAAACCGCUUUCGCCUGUGACGAAGCGUGAGUGACGGUAAUGGGUAAAGAAGCACCGGCUAACUACGUG